RNAcentral lists this ribosomal RNA (496 nucleotides) under uncultured bacterium. RNAcentral describes it as "partial 16S ribosomal RNA". It matches the Rfam family "Bacterial small subunit ribosomal RNA", at positions 28 to 506 of the family's 1533-position model. The record is from RNAcentral.
GAUGAACGCUGGCGGCGUGCCUAAUACAUGCAAGUCGAGCGAACAGACGAGGAGCUUGCUCCUCUGACGUUAGCGGCGGACGGGUGAGUAACACGUGGAUAACCUACCUAUAAGACUGGGAUAACUUCGGGAAACCGGAGCUAAUACCGGAUAAUAUAUUGAACCGCAUGGUUCAAUAGUGAAAGACGGUUUUGCUGUCCCUUAUAGAUGGAUCCGCGCCGCAUUAGCUAGUUGGUAAGGUAACGGCUUACCAAGGCAACGAUGCGUAGCCGACCUGAGAGGGUGAUCGGCCACACUGGAACUGAGACACGGUCCAGACUCCUACGGGAGGCAGCAGUUGGGAAUCUUCCGCAAUGGGCGAAAGCCUGACGGAGCAACGCCGCGUGAGUGAUGAAGGUCUUCGGAUCGUAAAACUCUGUUAUUAGGGAAGAACAAAUGUGUAAGUAACUAUGCACGUCUUGACGGUACCUAAUCAGAAAGCCACGGCUAACUACGU